GACGAACGCUGGCGGCAUGCCUAAUACAUGCAGUCGAGCGAACAGAUGAAGUGCUUGCACUUCUGACGUUAGCGGCGAACGGGUGAGUAACACGUAAGGAAUCUACCUAUAAGCGGGGGAUAACAUUCGGAAACGGGUGCUAAUACCGCAUAAUAUCUUCUUCCGCAUGGAAGAAGAUUGAAAGACGGCUCUGCUGUCACUUAUAGAUGACCUUGCGGUGCAUUAGUUAGUUGGUGGGGUAAUGGCCUACCAAGACGAUUAUGCAUAGCCGACCUGAGAGGGUGAUCGGCCACAUUGGGACUGAGACACGGCCCAAACUCCGACGGGAGGCAGCAGUAGGGAAUCUUCCGCAAUGGGCGAAAGCCUGACGGAGCAAUGCCGCGUGAGUGAAGAAGGCCUUCGGGUCGUAAAACUCUGUUAUAAGAGAAGAACAAAUUGUAGAGUAACUGCUACAGUCUUGACGGUAUCUUAUCAGAAAGCCACGGCUAACUACGUGCCAGCCGCCGCGGUAA
RNAcentral lists this ribosomal RNA (512 nucleotides) under uncultured bacterium. RNAcentral's name for it is "partial 16S ribosomal RNA". It matches the Rfam family "Bacterial small subunit ribosomal RNA", at positions 28 to 523 of the family's 1533-position model. The record is from RNAcentral.